CCUGUUCGGCUCGACGCCGCCACAGGACGGGAUGUGAUCCCUGGUUGGGAUUGAACCACGAA
Molecule: non-coding RNA, 62 nt
Filed under: unclassified sequences
Description: eL15-Euryarchaeota ribosomal protein leader
Rfam family: eL15-Euryarchaeota ribosomal protein leader
Source: RNAcentral